This 1203-nucleotide long non-coding RNA is filed under the name Piliocolobus tephrosceles (Ugandan red Colobus). Its description in RNAcentral is "lncRNA (ENSPTEG00000008468.1)". The record is from RNAcentral. Lineage: Eukaryota; Metazoa; Chordata; Mammalia; Primates; Cercopithecidae.
AAAUAAUAUCACGAAAGAUUGUAAAGAAACUUAUAUACAUACAGGGCAGUUAACGGAUACAGUAGUAUUAGUAGUACCACAUGAAAGACAAAAAGAAAAUGGAAUAGAUAAAAUAAAUGGCACGGAUUUUUAUGCAAAAGAAAAAAAUAUAAAUGAGGAAGAAAUAUAUGAGAAGGAAAAAGAAAAAUUUAUAAAAGAAAAUGUAAAGGAUAAAAAUGAAGAAGGAACAUAUAAGAGUAUUUGUUUGGAUAACAAAAUAGAUAAUUGUACUGUUGAUAAUGAUUUUUGUGAUAUUUUUGGUAGCAUCAUAAAUGAUAAGGAUAUAUCAUUCUCAUGUAAUGAUUCAAAUAAAGAAAAAUAUGAAAAAGUAAAAGAACCAAUGUAUGACAUGGCUAUUAUAAAAAGUGUUGACGAAGUAAACCCUCCUUCACCAAUUGAAUUUACUUUUAGAUUGUUAAAAAAGUAUAUAGAAGAGAAGAAGAAGAAAAAAAAAAGUGUGUUACAAUUAAUAAAAGAAAAUAUGAUUCAAUAUACAGUAGCGUUAAAUUUACGAAUUGAAAAAAUUAUAAAAAAAAGAGACGAAGAAUAUAUAUUAAUUUUAAGUGAUAAUUUUGAUUAUAUAUAUUGUUUCAUAAAAGAUAUUUAUUUAAUUAAUUUAAUACUUUCAAAUGUAAUUAAAGAAAGUUAUAUAUUAAAAAUUAACUCACUGGAUUUAUAUGAAACAAAAACACAUGAUGAAAAUAAACUUGUAAAUACAGAUGAAAAUAAUGUAAUGAAAUUUUGCUUAUCUAGUAAUAAUUUAAUUGAUAUAAAUAAAAAAAAUGAAUUAAAAAUCGGCAUAUCCAAAUAUAAAUCCAAAAGAAUAAAAAAUAUAGAAGAUUUUGGUAAUAACUGUUUUUUUAUUGAUGUAAUAAUUAUAAGUAAAAGUGAUUUGUCUUAUGGAUAUUAUGACACAACAUUGAAUAAAUAUUUUAUUUUAAAUAAUUAUAUAUAUGAAAAAAUUGUAUAUAAUUUACAAACCCAACUAGCCCAAAUAGCACAUGAAGAUGAUUUUAACGAAAAUAAUAAAUAUGCAAAAUUAAAAAAUGAACUGCUAAUGCUCCGUGAUGCAACACCUUUAUUUACAAUACAGGCGAUAGAUAUUGCCUAUUUUGAACAAAUAAAAAAGGCAACUUGUUUCAAUGAUGAAAUAGAGCAUAUAAU